AGGGUUUGAUUAUGGCUCAGGAUGAACGCUGGCGGCGUGCUUAACACAUGCAAGUCGAACGGAGAACCCCUGACGGAGGAUUCGUCCAACUGAUGGGAAUUCUUAGUGGCGGACGGGUGAGUAACGCGUGAGGAACCUGCCUUGGAGUGGGGAAUAACAGUCCGAAAGGACUGCUAAUACCGCAUAAUGCAGCUGGGUCGCAUGACUCUGGCUGCCAAAGAUUUAUCGCUCUGAGAUGGCCUCGCGUCUGAUUAGCUAGUAGGCGGGGUAACGGCCCACCUAGGCGACGAUCAGUAGCCGGACUGAGAGGUUGACCGGCCACAUUGGGACUGAGACACGGCCCAG
Molecule: ribosomal RNA, 345 nt
Filed under: uncultured bacterium
Lineage: Bacteria
Description: bacterial SSU rRNA
Rfam family: Bacterial small subunit ribosomal RNA
Source: RNAcentral